ACCGGGGAGGGUCAUUGGAAACUGGGGAACUUGAGUGCAGAAGAGGAGAGUGGAAUUCCACGUGUAGCGGUGAAAUGCGUAGAGAUGUGGAGGAACACCAGUGGCGAAGGCGACUCUCUGGUCUGUAACUGACGCUGAGGAGCGAAAGCGUGGGGAGCGAACAGGAUUAGAUACCCUGGUAGUCCACGCCGUAAACGAUGAGUGCUAAGUGUUAGGGGGUUUCCGCCCCUUAGUGCUGCAGCUAACGCAUUAAGCACUCCGCCUGGGGAGUACGGUCGCAAGACUGAAACUCAAAGGAAUUGACGGGGGCCCGCACAAGCGGUGGAGCAUGUGGUUUAAUUCGAAGCAACGCGAAGAACCUUACCAGGUCUUGACAUCCUCUGACAAUCCUAGAGAUAGGACGUCCCCUUCGGGGGCAGAGUGACAGGUGGUGCAUGGUUGUCGUCAGCUCGUGUCGUGAGAUGUUGGGUUAAGUCCCGCAACGAGCGCAACCCUUGAUCUUAGUUGCCAGCAUUCAGUUGGGCACUCUAAGGUGACUGCCGGUGACAAACCGGAGGAAGGUGGGGAUGACGUCAAAUCAUCAUGCCCCUUAUGACCUGGGCUACACACGUGCUACAAUGGACAGAACAAAGGGCAGCGAAACCGCGAGGUUAAGCCAAUCCCANCAAUCUGUUCUCAGUUCGGAUCGCAGUCUGCAACUCGACUGCGUGAAGCUGGAAUCGCUAGUAAUCGCGGAU
This 737-nucleotide ribosomal RNA is filed under the name Bacillus subtilis. RNAcentral describes it as "bacterial SSU rRNA". It matches the Rfam family "Bacterial small subunit ribosomal RNA", at positions 612 to 1349 of the family's 1533-position model. Lineage: Bacteria; Bacillati; Bacillota; Bacilli; Caryophanales; Bacillaceae. The record is from RNAcentral.